GGGGUUGCAGCUCAGCGGUAGAGUACUCACCUAGCAUGUGUGAGGCCCUGGGUUCGAUCCUCAGCACCACA
Molecule: transfer RNA, 71 nt
Filed under: Marmota monax (woodchuck)
Lineage: Eukaryota; Metazoa; Chordata; Mammalia; Rodentia; Sciuridae
Description: tRNA.Ala
Rfam family: tRNA
About the family: Transfer RNA (tRNA) molecules are approximately 80 nucleotides in length. Their secondary structure includes four short double-helical elements and three loops (D, anti-codon, and T loops).
Source: RNAcentral